AUUGAACGCUGGCGGCAUGCUUUACACAUGCAAGUCGAACGGCAGCGCGGGCUUCGGCCUGGCGGCGAGUGGCGAACGGGUGAGUAAUGCAUCGGAACGUGCCCAGUAGUGGGGGAUAGCCCGGCGAAAGCCGGAUUAAUACCGCAUACGACCUGAGGGUGAAAGCGGGGGACCGAAAGGCCUCGCGCUAUUGGAGCGGCCGAUGUCGGAUUAGCUAGUUGGUGGGGUAAAGGCUUACCAAGGCGACGAUCCGUAGCUGGUCUGAGAGGACGACCAGCCACACUGGAACUGAGACGCGGCCCAGACUCCUACGGGAGGCAGCAGUGGGGAAUUUUGGACAAUGGGGGCAACCCUGAUCCAGCCAUGCCGCGUGCGGGAAGAAGGCCUUCGGGUUGUAAACCGCUUUUGUUCGGGAAGAAAUCCUCUGGGCUAAUACCCCGGGGGGAUGACGGUACCGGAAGAAUAAGCACCGGCUAACUACGUG
This 484-nucleotide ribosomal RNA is filed under the name uncultured bacterium. RNAcentral's name for it is "partial 16S ribosomal RNA". It matches the Rfam family "Bacterial small subunit ribosomal RNA", at positions 28 to 507 of the family's 1533-position model. The record is from RNAcentral.